GACGAACGCUGGCGGCGUGCUUAACACAUGCAAGUCGAGCGGUAAGGCCUUUCGGGGUACACGAGCGGCGAACGGGUGAGUAACACGUGGGCGACCUGCCCUCCACUCUGGGAUAAGCCCGGGCAACUGGGUCUAAUACCGGAUAUGACCUCUCAUCGCAUGGUGGGUGGUGGAAAGUUGUUCGGUGGGGGAUGGGCCCGCGGCCUAUCAGCUUGUUGGUGGGGUGAUGGCCUACCAAGGCGACGACGGGUAGCCGGCCUGAGAGGGCGACCGGGCACACUGGGACUGAGACACGGCCCAGACUCCUACGGGAGGCAGCAGUGGGGAAUAUUGCGCAAUGGGCGGAAGCCUGACGCAGCGACGCCGCGUGGGGGAUGACGGCCUUCGGGUUGUAAACCUCUUUCGCCAGGGACGAAGCGUGAGUGACGGUACCUGGAUAAGAAGCACCGGCCAACUACGUGCCAGCCGCCGCAGUAA
RNAcentral lists this ribosomal RNA (477 nucleotides) under uncultured bacterium. RNAcentral describes it as "partial 16S ribosomal RNA". It matches the Rfam family "Bacterial small subunit ribosomal RNA", at positions 28 to 523 of the family's 1533-position model. The record is from RNAcentral.